Solanum dulcamara is the source of this 981-nucleotide long non-coding RNA. RefSeq lists it as uncharacterized. NCBI's taxonomy places the organism in Eukaryota, Viridiplantae, Streptophyta, Magnoliopsida, Solanales, Solanaceae. The transcript is spliced from 3 exons. The record is from RefSeq and is a predicted model, not a curated record.
GCUCUCUACAAUCAAGUCUCGAUUUUCUCAUCAAUAAUUAUACAUAAAAGCUAAUUUCACCCAUUUGUGCUUUCUGAUUUCAACUGAUCUCUUUAGAUUUAUUAAAUUAUUUUGGUGAAACACUAUGUUUAUUUGUCUUUAUCGGGUUGAAUAAUUUCGCUAUUUUCUUUUGCAUUCUUAUUUUUAUGGCUUUUUAGCAGGGAUAUAGAGGACGGCUCUUCUGCGCAUUGGGGUCACACAUCAUAAUGCUAACAAAAGGCCACAUUUCAGGGCUCUUGAGGACACUUGAGAUUGAAAACACCCUUGACUCUCUGAUUUUAAACCAUUACUUAAGCCAAACAAACAGCCUCACCAGUGAGCCAAUCCACUAAGCAGGGUCGGAAUAAAACUUCAACAUAACUGAGAAGACGGCUGUAAUCACCCCUGAUUCCUUCCGCUAAUGAUCUUCUAAUAAGAAUUCCAAAACUAUAGACAUCACUUCUUACAUUCAACAUGCCAGUUCUAGCAUACUUCUGGGUGAUAUAACUGAUAAAAAAGGGAAAUUGACAAUUUAUUUUCAACGAGCAACUCAAUAUUCUUUCUAAAUGUUUUAACAAUUGCUUUUUCGAUCAAGUUUGAUUAUCACCUCAACAAUUUGGUUGAAUAUCUAUUUGAAAGUGAAAUCCUAAUUGAAGAUGCAGUUUGUUUCCUUGAAUUUUUCACCAGAAAGUCUUGCUCUAGAGGGGGUAUUUCCCUUCACUUUCCACCUGCACUUUUUAGUACUUUUGUAUGUUCAUCAUUUAAUAUUUUAAGGAUGCCGAUGCUGGGAUCAAACUCUCAUCCCUGCAACUUAUCUCUUUUAUAGUUUGAGGAAGAUAUCAAUGGAAUCGAAUAAGGCAACUCAAGAAAGACUUUAGCAAUUUGAUUCUAAAUGUUUUGAGUAUUGCGCACUGUUGUAUUUUUAUUGUUUCGCAGCUUUCGCCUUUGUGUUUUCUUCUUCUU